GACUAGAAGCCGCAGUACUGUACAAGA
RNAcentral lists this non-coding RNA (27 nucleotides) under Cricetulus griseus (Chinese hamster). Lineage: Eukaryota; Metazoa; Chordata; Mammalia; Rodentia; Cricetidae. The record is from RNAcentral.